AACGUAGGUUCCGAGCGUUAUCCGGAUUUACUGGGCGUAAAGCGCGUUCAGGCGGUUUGGCAAGUCGGGCAUGAAAUCUCUCGGCUCAACCGGGAGAGGUUGUCCGAUACUGCUGGACUUGAGGGCAGUAGAGGGUGGUGGAAUUCCGGGUGUAGUGGUGAAAUGCGUAGAUAUCGGGAGGAACACCUGUGGCGAAAGCGGCGCACUGGACCACAACUGACGCUGAGGCGCGAAAGCUAGGGGAGCAAACGGG
RNAcentral lists this ribosomal RNA (253 nucleotides) under uncultured bacterium. RNAcentral's name for it is "partial 16S ribosomal RNA". It matches the Rfam family "Bacterial small subunit ribosomal RNA", at positions 524 to 776 of the family's 1533-position model. The record is from RNAcentral.